GUGUCAGCAGCCGCGGUAAUACAGAGGGUGCGAGCGUUAAUCGGAAUUACUGGGCGUAAAGCGCGCGUAGGCGGUUGGACAAGUCGAGUGUGAAAUCCCCGGGCUCAACCUGGGAGCUGCAUUCGAAACUGUUCGGCUAGAGUAUGGGAGAGGGAAGUGGAAUUUCAGGUGUAGCGGUGAAAUGCGUAGAUAUCUGAAGGAACAUCAGUGGCGAAAGCGACUUCCUGGACCAAUACUGACGCUCAGGUGCGAAAGCGUGGGGAGCAAACAGGAUUAGAAACCCUCGUAGUCC
Molecule: ribosomal RNA, 292 nt
Filed under: uncultured bacterium
Lineage: Bacteria
Description: partial 16S ribosomal RNA
Rfam family: Bacterial small subunit ribosomal RNA
Source: RNAcentral